GAGCGUACACAGGUGCUGCAUGGCUGUCGUCAGCUCGUGUCGUGAGAUGUUGGGUUAAGUCCCGCAACGAGACGCAACCCUGCAUUCAGUUGCCAUAGGUAAGGCCGGGCACUCUGGAUGGACUGCCGGCGACAAGCCGGAGGAAGUGGGGACGACGUCAAGUCAUCAUGGCCCUUAUGUCCAGGGCGACACACGUGCUACAAUGGCCGGCACAACGGGAAGCGAAGGGGCGACCCUGAGCGGAUCCCACAAAAGCCGGUCUCAGUUCGGAUUGCAGUCUGCAACUCGACUGCAUGAAGUUGGAAUCGCUAGUAAUCGUGGAUCAGCCAAGCCGCGGUGAAUACGUUCCCGGGCCUU
RNAcentral lists this ribosomal RNA (357 nucleotides) under uncultured Thermovirga sp. RNAcentral's name for it is "bacterial SSU rRNA". It matches the Rfam family "Bacterial small subunit ribosomal RNA", at positions 1026 to 1382 of the family's 1533-position model. The record is from RNAcentral. Lineage: Bacteria; Thermotogati; Synergistota; Synergistia; Synergistales; Thermovirgaceae.